Cucurbita pepo subsp. pepo (vegetable marrow) is the source of this 465-nucleotide long non-coding RNA. RefSeq lists it as uncharacterized. The record is from RefSeq and is a predicted model, not a curated record. NCBI's taxonomy places the organism in Eukaryota, Viridiplantae, Streptophyta, Magnoliopsida, Cucurbitales, Cucurbitaceae.
AAAUCAGAUAAUAUCAAAAAAGAAAUCCCACCUUCAAAUCUUUGUGGAUCAAAUAAUUUAACAAUCAACGGGAGAAAACUUGAUGAUUUCUGUUUCCUGCCGCAUUCUGCAUCAGAAAUUGUUCAGAGCUUUCCAUGAAGCAAACAAAACCCUGGGAUGGCUCAUCGCUGAGUUGAGGUAAAGUUUCUUUCUCUUUGAUUUUGUGAAAUCUUACCCUUUUUCCUUCAUUACCCAUUACUCAAGUUCACUAUUUUUGUAAGAAAUAGCUAUUCAAAGUAAGUUUUAGGGAGAAAAGAAGGAAUAAUAUACCACAAACUGAGAGAAGAUGAACAGCUGAAGUAUGAAGGUAGAGUGAAUAGCAUAGGAAUUUACUUCAAAUCAUUAUCACAAUAGCAAGAAUCGUACAAACUCACCUUCAAAUCAUGUCCACAUUAUAUAUUUAAUAAUACAAUUGUCAGUUUUGUA